GCAAUUGUUAUAUUUUACCUAAGGUUUCUGGGGCAUGCCCUAGUGGCUCUUGACAAAAUAUCAUGAUAGUUGAAGAAAGGACAGAAACAGUCCCCUGAGCAUUAAGAUGACAAAAACUAUUAAGACCUUAAAAAAAAUCAGCAUUGAUAGAUCCAUGCACUUGGGAGUUUUAUGCUGAAAAUUACAUUCUAGCAUGAAAGUUAGGCAUGUGUUUAGAAUGUACAGAUCUGUUUUGCAGUCCUGAUUGUUAUUGAGGUAGCUGAAUAGCUCUCUCUAAAUAAUUUAUACAUAGGUUAUUAAUGAAGAUGAAAGAGAGUCUCAAGUGAAUCAAUCUACCCAAAUUUGUAAGAGGAAAGCUGAAUCAUGCAGAUGUCUAAAUGUUGACUGUACUAAAAAUACUCACCCUGGAAGUUCAGGUAGUCACCUCCCUUAGUGUGUGAAAGAAGAGUGCAGCUAAAGUAAAACUGGGGUAGAGGGCUUGCAAAGACAGUUCUUCAGAGUGGUGCUUGAAGCUUCAUCUCUAGAAGCUUGCCCAUGAUUCUAUACAGAUACGACUAGCUAGCUGGAGCUGAAUGGUAAUGGUACUGUUCAUCUGCGGUCUUCUGGAAGGUUGAAAACUUCAUGAGUAAAUAACCAGUGGAGCUGGACAACUUGGCAGCAAACUCUUUGGCUUUCCUGAUUCUACCUGUGGAGCCUGGUUUGCAAGUUUGAUAUGAAGACAUACAGUCCAGAAGAGGGAAGUAGUGGAAGACUAUCACAAGUGUGAGCAAUUUCAACCUGGU
This is a long non-coding RNA of Neopsephotus bourkii (Bourke's parrot), 782 nucleotides long. RefSeq lists it as uncharacterized. The record is from RefSeq and is a predicted model, not a curated record. The transcript has 3 exons. Lineage: Eukaryota; Metazoa; Chordata; Aves; Psittaciformes; Psittacidae.